Molecule: ribosomal RNA, 490 nt
Filed under: uncultured bacterium
Lineage: Bacteria
Description: partial 16S ribosomal RNA
Rfam family: Bacterial small subunit ribosomal RNA
Source: RNAcentral
GAUGAACGCUAGCUACAGGCUUAACACAUGCAAGUCGAGGGGAAACGACAUCGAAAGCUUGCUUUUGAUGGGCGUCGACCGGCGCACGGGUGAGUAACGCGUAUCCAACCUGCCCAUCACUUGGGAAUAACCUUGCGAAAGUAAGACUAAUACCCAAUGAUAUCCCACGAAGGCAUCGGAAUGGGAUUAAAGAUUUAUCGGUGUUGGAUGGGGAUGCGUCUGAUUAGCUUGUUGGCGGGGUAACGGCCCACCAAGGCAACGAUCAGUAGGGGUUCUGAGAGGAAGGUCCCCCACAUUGGAACUGAGACACGGUCCAAACUCCUACGGUAGGCAGCAGUGAGGAAUAUUGGUCAAUGGGCGAGAGCCUGAACCAGCCAAGUAGCGUGCAGGAAGACGGCCCUAUGGGUUGUAAACUGCUUUUAUAAGGGAAUAAAGUGGGUCACGUGUGACUUUUUGCAUGUACCUUAUGAAUAAGGACCGGCUAAUUCCG